GGCCGCAAGGUUAAAACUCAAAUGAAUUGACGGGGGCCCGCACAAGCGGUGGAGCAUGUGGUUUAAUUCGAUGCAACGCGAAGAACCUUACCUGGUCUUGACAUCCACAGAACUUUCCAGAGAUGGACUGGUGCCUUCGGGAACUGUGAGACAGGUGCUGCAUGGCUGUCGUCAGCUCGUGUUGUGAAAUGUUGGGUUAAGUCCCGCAACGAGCGCAACCCUUAUCCUUUGUUGCCAGCGGUUAGGCCGGGAACUCAAAGGAGACUGCCAGUGAUAAACUGGAGGAAGGUGGGGAUGACGUCAAGUCAUCAUGGCCCUUACGACCAGGGCUACACACGUGCUACAAUGGCGCAUACAAAGAGAAGCGACCUCGCGAGAGCAAGCGGACCUCAUAAAGUGCGUCGUAGUCCGGAUUGGAGUCUGCAACUCGACUCCAUGAAGUCGGAAUCGCUAGUAAUCGUGGAUCAGAAUGCCACGGUGAAUACGUUCCCGGGCCUUGUACACACCGCCCGUCACACCAUGGGAGUGGGUUGCAAAAGAAGUAGGUAGCUUAACCUUCGGGAGGGCGCUUACCACUUUGUGAUUCAUGACUGGGGUGAAGUCGUAACAAGGUAACCGUAGGGGAACCUGCGGUUGGAUCACCUCCUUACCUUAAAGAAGC
This 661-nucleotide ribosomal RNA is filed under the name Salmonella enterica subsp. enterica serovar Senftenberg. RNAcentral describes it as "bacterial SSU rRNA". It matches the Rfam family "Bacterial small subunit ribosomal RNA", at positions 884 to 1533 of the family's 1533-position model. Lineage: Bacteria; Pseudomonadati; Pseudomonadota; Gammaproteobacteria; Enterobacterales; Enterobacteriaceae. The record is from RNAcentral.